CUACGGGUCGCAGCAGUCGAGAAUAGUCUACAAUGGACGAAAGUCUGAUAGUGCGACGCCGCGUGGAUGAAGAAGCAUUUCGGUGUGUAAAGUCCUUUUCUGUGUGAGCAAUGUUUUCCAGGUUAAUAGCUUGGAGAAAGCGAUAUUAACACAGGGAUAAGCUCCGGCUAACUCCGUGCCAGCAGCCGCGGUAACACGGGGGGAGCAAGCGUUGUCCGGAAUUACUAGGCGUAAAGGGUAAGUAGGCGGAAUUGUAAGUCAGAUGUUAAAGGCACCGGCUCAACCGGUGUAUGGCCAUUUGAUACUGUAAUUCUAGAGUAAGGUGGGGGAAGACGGAAUUCCUGGUGUAGCGGUGGAAUGCGCAGAUAUCAGGAGGAACACCAGAGGCGCAGGCGGUCUUCUAUACCAUUACUGACGCUCAAUUACGAAGGUGUGGGUAUCAAACAGGAUUAGAUACCCUAGUAGUC
This 467-nucleotide ribosomal RNA is filed under the name uncultured bacterium. RNAcentral's name for it is "partial 16S ribosomal RNA". It matches the Rfam family "Bacterial small subunit ribosomal RNA", at positions 339 to 795 of the family's 1533-position model. The record is from RNAcentral.